GGUGACUCAAUGGUAGAGCACAUGCCUUGCAUGCAUGAAGCCCUGGGUUCAAUUCCUCAGCACCA
RNAcentral lists this transfer RNA (65 nucleotides) under Dipodomys ordii (Ord's kangaroo rat). It matches the Rfam family "tRNA". From Rfam's summary of the family: Transfer RNA (tRNA) molecules are approximately 80 nucleotides in length. The record is from Rfam by way of RNAcentral. Lineage: Eukaryota; Metazoa; Chordata; Mammalia; Rodentia; Heteromyidae.